RNAcentral lists this ribosomal RNA (771 nucleotides) under Rhodococcus sp. (in: high G+C Gram-positive bacteria). RNAcentral describes it as "bacterial SSU rRNA". It matches the Rfam family "Bacterial small subunit ribosomal RNA", at positions 46 to 834 of the family's 1533-position model. The record is from RNAcentral. Lineage: Bacteria; Bacillati; Actinomycetota; Actinomycetes; Mycobacteriales; Nocardiaceae.
GCUUAACACAUGCAAGUCGAGCGGUAAGGCCUUUCGGGGUACACGAGCGGCGAACGGGUGAGUAACACGUGGGUGAUCUGCCCUGCACUUCGGGAUAAGCCUGGGAAACUGGGUCUAAUACCGGAUAUGACCUCAUAUCGCAUGGUGGGUGGUGGAAAGAUUUAUCGGUGCAGGAUGGGCCCGCGGCCUAUCAGCUUGUUGGUGGGGUAAUGGCCUACCAAGGCGACGACGGGUAGCCGACCUGAGAGGGUGACCGGCCACACUGGGACUGAGACACGGCCCAGACUCCUACGGGAGGCAGCAGUGGGGAAUAUUGCACAAUGGGCGAAAGCCUGAUGCAGCGACGCCGCGUGAGGGAUGACGGCCUUCGGGUUGUAAACCUCUUUCAGCAGGGACGAAGCGCAAGUGACGGUACCUGCAGAAGAAGCACCGGCUAACUACGUGCCAGCAGCCGCGGUAAUACGUAGGGUGCAAGCGUUGUCCGGAAUUACUGGGCGUAAAGAGUUCGUAGGCGGUUUGUCGCGUCGUUUGUGAAAACCAGCAGCUCAACUGCUGGCUUGCAGGCGAUACGGGCAGACUUGAGUACUGCAGGGGAGACUGGAAUUCCUGGUGUAGCGGUGAAAUGCGCAGAUAUCAGGAGGAACACCGGUGGCGAAGGCGGGUCUCUGGGCAGUAACUGACGCUGAGGAACGAAAGCGUGGGUAGCGAACAGGAUUAGAUACCCUGGUAGUCCACGCCGUAAACGGUGGGCGCUAGGUGUGGGUUCCUUCC